RNAcentral lists this long non-coding RNA (253 nucleotides) under Hordeum vulgare. RNAcentral's name for it is "long non-coding RNA (HVUL_LNC019226)". Lineage: Eukaryota; Viridiplantae; Streptophyta; Magnoliopsida; Poales; Poaceae. The record is from RNAcentral.
UUUGUAUGUAACUUCUUCAUAAAUGACAAAACUUUGUCUUCUCAGCUCAAUGACUAGACUACCCUACAAGUUUUUGUACAAAGAUCACAUGCAGAAUUACCAAAUAAGAUGGAAUUUCGGACAUGAAACAAGCAGGGCAAAGGAGCAGCAGGUCUCCAGGGGAGAGCUCUUCCGUCAACACAAGGAGCAGGGCAGGGGAGCAACAUCAGGACUGGCAGAGCAGUAGCACGAGUAGAUAGAAGCAGCAGCACGG